UACUAGAAUAUUAAAAGUUAUGGCCUUUAAAUUUAAAAAAUUUGGCGGUGUUUUAGUCUAGUUAGAGGAACCUGUUUUAUAAACGAUAUGACACGCAUUAUUUUACUUAUUUUAGUGGAGCAGUUUGUAUACCGUCAUUAUAAGAUAAUUUAGGAGAAAAUAUUAUUGAAAUCAUAUUUGUGAGUAUAUUAGAUCAAGGUGCAGCUUAUAAAUAAGUAAAUAUGGGUUACAAUAAAAUUAAUUUAAUAUGAAUUAAGUAUUUAAAUAUAUUUAUGAAGGAGGAUUUAAUUGUAAGGGAAGGAGUAGUGAGAUUUUCUGAUAAAAGCUCUAAAUUAUGUACAUAUCGCCCGUCGCUC
This 356-nucleotide ribosomal RNA is filed under the name Cambarellus sp. Pop35. RNAcentral's name for it is "partial 12S ribosomal RNA". RNAcentral also lists the same sequence under 1 other name. Lineage: Eukaryota; Metazoa; Arthropoda; Malacostraca; Decapoda; Cambaridae. The record is from RNAcentral.